RNAcentral lists this long non-coding RNA (895 nucleotides) under Olea europaea subsp. europaea. The record is from RNAcentral. Lineage: Eukaryota; Viridiplantae; Streptophyta; Magnoliopsida; Lamiales; Oleaceae.
CUUCCACCGUCUCUUGAUGGAAGAUCAACGCGUAGAGAAGAAAAGUGAACUACCAACCGACUUAUUAGUAGACGUACUAUCGAGGCUCCCUGAGAAGACUCUUUGCAGGUUCACCUGUGUUUCCAAAGAAUGGAAUAGCUUGAUAUCUUCUCAUCCUAGCUUUGUCAAAGCUUUGCUCCACCAACGACUUCAUCGAAAAUCUUAUCUAUAUAUUUGGGAUAGAAGUAUUUUCGGCGGAUACGUUAAAUCUCUUCACGUAUCCAUCGUGGACACAGUUAACGAAAGGAUUCAGGAAAACUACCGUCUCCCUAUUAUGAAUACUUAUAUUUAUACCCUAAUCUCGUGUUAUAGUCUUUUAUGUUUGGUUCAGACAAAAAUUUCUAUUUAUAAUCAGAGCACCCGAGAGAGAGCAAUUCUUCCUGAUCGUGAUCAUCUUGAUCAUGUAGGUAUAGGUUUAGGGUACUCAUCUGUUGGAAAAGAAUUCAAAAUUGUUAGGUGGUAUAUGAAGGAUGGCAGAAUGAGUAUGGGGUGUGAAAUUUUCAGUCUAACUGAUCGUCUCAAAUUCAAAUCAGAUUCGUGGAGAUUGACUGAAACGUGUCCUAUUGAAUUCCUUAGCAAUCCUUCUGUGUUUGUUAAUGGAGUGAUUUUUUGGCAGAUACUUAACCCAACGUUGGAGAAUUUUUUCGAAUCCAUUUCUCUUCUUGUCUUGGAUUUGGAUGAGGAAGAAUCCCAAAUCAUUUCAUGCACAAAGCUCAGUCCUGAUACCGUUGCCUACUUGGUAGAGUUAAAGGAGUGUUUAUAUUUAGCACAUUGUUCCAUAGGAAAAGCAGUUGUGAAAAUGUGGAGGCUGGAAGACCAAAAAAAUAUUCAACGUCCAUGGUCUUUCCCAAUCUUU